RNAcentral lists this ribosomal RNA (389 nucleotides) under Papiliotrema laurentii. Its description in RNAcentral is "LSU rRNA". It matches the Rfam family "Eukaryotic large subunit ribosomal RNA", at positions 94 to 477 of the family's 3401-position model. The record is from RNAcentral. Lineage: Eukaryota; Fungi; Basidiomycota; Tremellomycetes; Tremellales; Rhynchogastremaceae.
UGAACCGGGAAGAGCUCAAAUUUGAAAUCUGGCGUCCUCAGGGCGUCCGAGUUGUAAUCUAUAGAGGCGUUUUCCGUGCCGGACCGUGUCCAAGUUCCUUGGAACAGGAUAUCAAAGAGGGUGACAAUCCCGUACUUGACACGACGACCGGUGCUCUGUGAUACGUCUUCUACGAGUCGAGUUGUUUGGGAAUGCAGCUCAAAAUGGGUGGUGAGUUCCAUCUAAAGCUAAAUAUUGGCGAGAGACCGAUAGCGAACAAGUACCGUGAGGGAAAGAUGAAAAGCACUUUGGAAAGAGAGUUAAACAGUACGUGAAAUUGUUGAAAGGGAAACGAUUGAAGUCAGUCGUGACCGAGAGGCUCAGCCGGUUCUGCCGGUGUAUUCCCCUCG